Molecule: ribosomal RNA, 554 nt
Filed under: uncultured bacterium
Lineage: Bacteria
Description: bacterial SSU rRNA
Rfam family: Bacterial small subunit ribosomal RNA
Source: RNAcentral
AAUAGAUACCCGGUAGUCCUAGCUGUAAACGGUGGAUGCUAGCUAUUGGGGGAAUCGACCCCUCCGAAGCGAAGCUAACGCGUUAAGCAUCCCGCCUGAGUAGUACGAGCGCAAGCUUAAAACUCAAAGGAAUUGACGGGGACCCGCACAAGCGGUGGAGCGUGUGGUUUAAUUCGAUGGUAAACGAAGAACCUUACCAAGGUUUGACAUCCCGGUAGCCGUUCUCCGAAAGGAGAAUUUCAUUUAGUUGGACCGGUGACAGGUGAUGCAUGGCCGUCGUCAGCUCGUGUCGUGAGAUGUUGGGUUAAGUCCCGCAACGAGCGCAACCCUUAUGAUUUAGUUGGAUUUUUCUAAACAGACUGCCCUGGUAACAGGGAGGAAGGAGGGGAUGAUGUCAGGUCAGUAUUUCCCUUACACCUUGGGCGACACACGCGCUACAAUGGCCGGUACAAUGGGCAGCUAAGCCGCGAGGUGGAGCAAAUCCCAUCAAAGCCGGUCCCAGUUCGGAUUGCAGGCUGAAACCCGCCUGCAUGAAGCCGGAAUCGCUAGUAACC